This is a non-coding RNA of Pelobates cultripes (western spadefoot toad), 1070 nucleotides long. The record is from the annotation of a GenBank genome assembly. Lineage: Eukaryota; Metazoa; Chordata; Amphibia; Anura; Pelobatidae.
GGACAAGUUGUAUUUAAGAGAUUCCUCUUCACCCACACCGGUGGUUCAUAUAACGUGAUGUGUAUUUAUUGUGGCACACUCCAUACAAACUCCGGCCAGUGUUUGCAUCACAAGAAUAUGACUUACUCACAUUUUGUUCUGUACUAGAACUUCUGUCAUUAUUCUGGAUUGCAUUGGAACAUACCAGUGGGAGAUCACUAUAAACUGGCCAGAAAUUUUGGCUGUGGCUGCCAUUAUUGAAUGUUUUAAGUGCUUAUAACACUAAGUAUUCAUUUCUGUCUCCUACAAGAGCCUUUAGCUAAUGAUGAGGUCCUGUGUGAUGACCAGAUUACCCUAUGCCAGCCUGCCACACUACGUACUUACUUUUUGUAAGCUCAGUUUUUAAAGGAACGCACCAGGUUGUAUUAAGCACAGAAGUCGUAAUGUAUUAUAAAGAUAAAAAAUGCACUUAAAAAUAAUAUAAAGAAGAAAAAAAGAACAAUACUUUUCUAUGUAUUCUCCCUUUUGAAGUUUUUCCCAUACAUAAUACCCUCUUCCAGUAACUGGCUUCUGACAUUUGGUUAAACCAGGAACUGGCUGAGCAGACUAAGCAGCAAAACUCCCCCUGCUGGUUCAGUGUGUCAUAGAGCAUAUUUGUUACAAAUGCCAAUCAGACCUCCUCUACCACCAUGCCCCAAUAUCAGUACCAACUGGAAAAAGCAUCCAGUUCUAUUUGGUGGUUAAGAUGAACAAUGCUUACUCAGUUCUUUGUAGAACCAUGGUAUUACAUGCAUGUCUUGUAUAUCGAACACAGUACAGACUGUCUCAGUCAGGUUAGAUUUAUUCCAUGAACAGUCACAGUUGGGUUGCAUUUCACCCAUCGUAUAGUACUUGGUUAUAGUCAGGCUGUAAAUCACACAUUCUACAGCACUUGGUCAUGGGCAGACUGUGUUCUAUAAAUACAGUCUGCCUAUGACCAACAUUUACUUUACAUGUCUGCAACAUAAUAUAUAGGAAUGGUAUAAAGUAAUAAGUAGCAAGUGCUGUGUAUAGUCAGUUUUUGAUUGUAACUACUACUUGUUUACUUGAAG